AUACGGAGGAUGCAAGCGUUAUCCGGAUUUAUUGGGUUUAAAGGGUGCGUAGGCGGCUUGGUAAGUCAGAUGUGAAAUGUAGAGGCUCAACCUCUGAACUGCAUUUGAAACUAUUGAGCUUGAGUGAUGUAGAGGCAGGCGGGAUUUCCUGGGUAGCGGGGGAAGGCGUAGAGAUAGGGAGGAACACCAGUGGCGAAGGCGGCCUGCUGGGCAUUAACUGACGCUGAGGCACGAAAGCGUGGGUAGCAAACAGGAUUAGAUACCCUGGUAGUCCACGCUGUAAACGAUGAUUACUAGGUGUGGGUGGACUGACCCCAUCCGUGCCGCAGUUAACACAAUAAGUAAUCCACCUGGGGAGUACGGCCGCAAGGUUGAAACUCAAAGGAAUUGACGGGG
RNAcentral lists this ribosomal RNA (396 nucleotides) under uncultured bacterium. RNAcentral describes it as "partial 16S ribosomal RNA". It matches the Rfam family "Bacterial small subunit ribosomal RNA", at positions 523 to 918 of the family's 1533-position model. The record is from RNAcentral.